Molecule: ribosomal RNA, 769 nt
Filed under: Paramyrothecium roridum
Lineage: Eukaryota; Fungi; Ascomycota; Sordariomycetes; Hypocreales; Stachybotryaceae
Description: SSU rRNA
Rfam family: Eukaryotic small subunit ribosomal RNA
Source: RNAcentral
CCUGCAUGUCUAAGUAUAAGCAAUUAUACAGCGAAACUGCGAAUGGCUCAUUAUAUAAGUUAUCGUUUAUUUGAUAGUACCUUACUACUUGGAUAACCGUGGUAAUUCUAGAGCUAAUACAUGCUAAAAAUCCCGACUUCGGAAGGGAUGUAUUUAUUAGAUUAAAAACCAAUGCCCUCUGGGCUCCUUGGUGAUUCAUGAUAACUUCUCGAAUCGCAUGGCCUUGUGCCGGCGAUGGUUCAUUCAAAUUUCUUCCCUAUCAACUUUCGAUGUUUGGGUAGUGGCCAAACAUGGUUGCAACGGGUAACGGAGGGUUAGGGCUCGACCCCGGAGAAGGAGCCUGAGAAACGGCUACUACAUCCAAGGAAGGCAGCAGGCGCGCAAAUUACCCAAUCCCGACACGGGGAGGUAGUGACAAUAAAUACUGAUACAGGGCUCUUUUGGGUCUUGUAAUUGGAAUGAGUACAAUUUAAAUCCCUUAACGAGGAACAAUUGGAGGGCAAGUCUGGUGCCAGCAGCCGCGGUAAUUCCAGCUCCAAUAGCGUAUAUUAAAGUUGUUGUGGUUAAAAAGCUCGUAGUUGAACCUUGGGCCUGGCUGGCCGGUCCGCCUCACCGCGUGUACUGGUCCGGCCGGGCCUUUCCCUCUGUGGAACCCCAUGCCCUUCACUGGGUGUGGCGGGGAAACAGGACUUUUACUUUGAAAAAAUUAGAGUGCUCCAGGCAGGCCUAUGCUCGAAUACAUUAGCAUGGAAUAAUAAGAAUAAGGACG